Schistosoma haematobium is the source of this 45-nucleotide non-coding RNA. Lineage: Eukaryota; Metazoa; Platyhelminthes; Trematoda; Strigeidida; Schistosomatidae. The record is from Rfam.
AUCCAGUUGACGAGUCCCAAAAAGGACGAAUCGUGCAUCCUGGAU